AUGCUUUUCUUUGUUUUCCGAAGCAAAUUAGGAAAAGAAGGCUUAAAGAAGGAAAGUGCGUGGAAUUUUGAUUCAACAAGGAUUUUCGAUGGAUUAUGACUUUUCUUUGAAGCAAAGAGUUAGAGAUCCACAAGGAAACAAAGUGGAAGAGUUUUAAGACGGAAUAAAAGGCUUUUAGAAGUCACAAUCAAGGGCUACAACGCAGAAGAGAAGCAAGAAACCAUUGAAGCAACUCAAGGAG
This 241-nucleotide long non-coding RNA is filed under the name Rosa chinensis. RNAcentral describes it as "sRNA RchiOBHm_Chr4g0442291". The record is from RNAcentral. Lineage: Eukaryota; Viridiplantae; Streptophyta; Magnoliopsida; Rosales; Rosaceae.